UACGUAGGCAGCAAGCGUUGUUCGGAGUUACUGGGCGUAAAGGGUGCGUAGGCGGUUGUUUAAGUUUGGUGUGAAAUCUCCCGGCUCAACUGGGAGGGUGCGCCGAAUACUGAAUGACUAGAGUGCGGGAGAGGAGAGUGGAAUUCCUGGUGUAGCGGUGAAAUGCGCAGAUAUCAGGAGGAACACCAAUGGCGAAGGCAGCACUCUGGGACGUGACUGACGCUGAGACGCGAAAGCGUGGGGAGCAAACAGG
RNAcentral lists this ribosomal RNA (253 nucleotides) under uncultured bacterium. RNAcentral's name for it is "partial 16S ribosomal RNA". It matches the Rfam family "Bacterial small subunit ribosomal RNA", at positions 524 to 776 of the family's 1533-position model. The record is from RNAcentral.